CGUGUAGGCGGUUUAAUAAGUCAGAUGUAAAAGCCCCGGCUCAACCGGGAUGGUCAUUUGAAACUGUUAGGCUUGAGUGCGAGAGAGGGUAGUGGAAUUCCCAGUGUAGCGGUGAAAUGCGUAGAUAUUGGGAAGAACACCAGUAGCGAAGGCGGCUACCUGGCUCGCAACUGACGCUAAGGCGCAAAAGCGUGGGGAGCAAACA
RNAcentral lists this ribosomal RNA (205 nucleotides) under uncultured bacterium. Its description in RNAcentral is "partial 16S ribosomal RNA". It matches the Rfam family "Bacterial small subunit ribosomal RNA", at positions 568 to 774 of the family's 1533-position model. The record is from RNAcentral.